This 841-nucleotide ribosomal RNA is filed under the name uncultured bacterium. RNAcentral describes it as "bacterial SSU rRNA". It matches the Rfam family "Bacterial small subunit ribosomal RNA", at positions 8 to 820 of the family's 1533-position model. The record is from RNAcentral.
AGAGUUUGAUCAUUGCUCAUGAUGAACGCUGUGCAGUGUGUCCUUAACACUGCNAGUCGCAACGCGAGAAGAUAAGAGACUUGCUCUUUAUCUUUUAAUGGCGAACGCGGUGNAAUAUACACGUUGGUGUACACUAACCUCACAGAAGCGAAUAUACGCCGCGGAAACUGGUGCUAAUAUCGCCAUAAUCUCGGCAGUUAUGUAACUGCGAAUNAAGAGAUUCAUUGCUUGAAGAUUGGCCCGCGGGACACAUCAGACUAAUUGUGUAAGGUNAAGGCUNACAAAGGCGANGANGGAUAAGCGAACUNAGAAGGUUANACGGCACCAGGGGCACUGAGACACGGGCCCCACUCCUACGGGGAGGCAGCAGUUAGGAAUUCUUCCCCAAUGGGCCGCCAGCCUUGAGGGAACGAAACUUGGCGUUGGAAGGAUUGACGGGCCUUUCGGGGUUUGGUUAAACUUCUUGAAACGAGGUGGACGAUAGGUGACCGGUAAACUCGGGAAAAAGCACCGGGCUAACUCCGGUGCCAAGCAGCCGCGGUAAUACGGAGGGUGCGAGCGUUAUCCGGAAUCACUGGGCGUAAAGGGCGCGUAGGCGGUUUAGUAAGUCCGAUGUUAAAGCGUGGGGCUCAACCCCAUCACGGCGUUGGAUACUGUUAAGCUAGACGACUGGAGAGGGAGGUAGAAUUACCAGAGUAGCGGUGGAAUGCGUAGAUACUGGUAGGAAUACCCAUAGCGAAGGCAGCCUUCUGGACAGUUAGUGACGCUGAGGCGCGAAAGUGUGGGGAGCGAACCGGAUUAGAUACCCGGGUAGUCCACACCCUAAACGAUGCAUACUUGG